GACGUAGGGGGCAAGCGUUGUCCGGAUUUACUGGGCGUAAAGCGCGCGUAGGCGGCUUGUUAAGUGUUAGAGUGAAAGCUCCGGGCUCAACCCGGAAAUUCGACUCUGCAUACUGGCAGGGCUGGAGGGACGCAGAGGUCUGUGGAAUUCCUGGUGUAACGGUGAAAUGUCGUUGAUAUCAGGAGGAACACCCAUGGCGAAGGCAGCAGACUGGGCGUUUCCCUGACGCUGAGGCGCGAAAGCGUGGGUAGCAAACCAGG
Molecule: ribosomal RNA, 260 nt
Filed under: uncultured bacterium
Lineage: Bacteria
Description: partial 16S ribosomal RNA
Rfam family: Bacterial small subunit ribosomal RNA
Source: RNAcentral